This 482-nucleotide ribosomal RNA is filed under the name uncultured bacterium. Its description in RNAcentral is "partial 16S ribosomal RNA". It matches the Rfam family "Bacterial small subunit ribosomal RNA", at positions 30 to 506 of the family's 1533-position model. The record is from RNAcentral.
AUUGAACGCUGGCGGCAGGCCUAACACAUGCAAGUCGAGCGGAUGAAGGGAGCUUGCUCCUGGAUUCAGCGGCGGACGGGUGAGUAAUGCCUAGGAAUCUGCCUGGUAGUGGGAGAUAACGUCCGGAAACGGGCGCUAAUACCGCAUACGUCCUGAGGGAGAAAGUGGGGGAUCUUCGGACCUCACGCUAUCAGAUGAGCCUAGGUCGGAUUAGCUAGUUGGUGGGGUAAAGGCCUACCAAGGCGACGAUCCGUAACUGGUCUGAGAGGAUGAUCAGUCACACUGAAACUGAGACACGGUCCAGACUCCUACGGGAGGCAGCAGUGGGGAAUAUUGGACAAUGGGCGAAAGCCUGAUCCAGCCAUGCCGCGUGUGUGAAGAAGGUCUUCGGAUUGUAAAGCACUUUAAGUUGGGAGGAAGGGCAGUAAGUUAAUACCUUGCUGUUUGGACGUUACCACAGAAUAAGCACCGGCUAACUUCGU